CCUACGGGAGGCAGCAGUGAGGAAUAUUGGUCAAUGGGCGAGAGCCUGAACCAGCCAAGUCGCGUGAGGGAGUACUGCCCUAUGGGUUGUAAACCUCUUUUGUCGGGGAGCAAAAGCCGGACGUGUCCGGCUGUGAGAGUACCCGAAGAAAAAGCAUCGGCUAACUCCGUGCCAGCAGCCGCGGUAAUACGGAGGAUGCGAGCGUUAUCCGGAUUUAUUGGGUUUAAAGGGUGCGCAGGCGGAUUUUUAAGUCAGCGGUCAAAUCGUGGGGCUCAACCCCAUCCAGCCGUUGAAACUGGGGAUCUAUAGUGUGCGAGAGGUAUGCGGAAUGCGUGGUGUAGCGGUGAAAUGCAUAGAUAUUAGGAGGAACACCAGUUGCGAAGGCGGCUCUCUGGACUGUAACUGACACUGAGGCACGAAAGCGUGGGGAGCAAACAGGAUUAGAUACCCUUGUAGUC
RNAcentral lists this ribosomal RNA (458 nucleotides) under uncultured bacterium. RNAcentral describes it as "partial 16S ribosomal RNA". It matches the Rfam family "Bacterial small subunit ribosomal RNA", at positions 338 to 795 of the family's 1533-position model. The record is from RNAcentral.